Molecule: long non-coding RNA, 1856 nt
Filed under: Marmota monax (woodchuck)
Lineage: Eukaryota; Metazoa; Chordata; Mammalia; Rodentia; Sciuridae
Source: RNAcentral
AUUUGUCCCAGUUUGCUGGGUUUUUCUGUGAUGCAAGACUUCUAGUGUUAGGUCCAGGGGAAAACAAGGAUAUCACUCUAGUUUUUAAAAAGUCAUUAUGUGCCAAGCACUACAUGCUAUGUGUACUAUAUGCUAAGCACUGUGCUAGCUACUUUAUACAUGCUAUUUAGUCCUAACAAACCUGUGGUAAAAGUAAUAUCCUUAUGUCCUUGGAGAAGCAACUGAGGCUCCAUGCAGUAGGAUGGUCUAGCUAAAAUCAUAGGCAUCUGGGUAGGUUCCCUUAAAGCAGGUGGGAGUGUUUCAGAACUCCCAGAACUGUUAAGGUCUUCAUUCUGAGGUCUUCGUCUAUAUUUCUUUUCUUGGCCCAUAAUACAGAAGCCCUGUCAGAAUGCAGCCAGUGACUUGCUGGUGAUCACAUCAAUACACAGUUCUAAACAUAUCAUGGCCAGACUCUUUAGAAUGAAGUGAACUGGAGUGAGCCUCUUGUAAAUAUCAACAAAAUCAUCUCCAAGGGUAAGGAAAUGGUCAGGAGCAAGGGAGGAGUCACAGGUACAUUCAUUUGCAAAACAAUCUUGGUUCCUUCUUAGCCAUUGACCCUUUAGUAGAAGGUGGGAGUGGGAGAAGUGAUCAGAGCAAAUCCCCUGUGCCCUUCCAGAGCUCACAUUUUCUCAGUGCCCCAUCAUUUUCCAAGAGUCAUCAGCAUUACUUCCCAGCCCCUAGCAAAAAGAGAGUUUUACCCCUGGAAAACUCUUCCCAGUUGCCUGGCAUCAAAAGACAUUCCCAGGCCUUUUGGAAGGAAGCUGUCUUUCUGAAAAUGAGGAAUUUCUUUAGGGAAGUCUGGGGCUUUCUCUGCUAAUUAUGGGGGAAUGUAUUAUCUGUCUGUGCUCUCCUCUCUGACUGCAUUUUUGUGUCCUGAACAGCUAUCCUUGUUAUAGCCUUAACAACUUGAAAACAUACUUGCAUUUGCUACUGGUACUUCCAGUGGAAUCCAUUAGUUGCCCGUUUCAUUCCAAUGAGUAACUUUUGAUAAAAGGCCCAGGAUUUAUUAUUAUUGUUGUUUGCCUAACAAGAACUGCCUACUGUCGGCACUGUUUUACCUGUUCUCUUGAGUCCAAGGCUACCAGAGAAUAAUGUUCUUCAGUAUCCUCCCUCCCACUCCUAUUCUCUGGCCUCCAGCCAGCCAGAGAGAUUUCAGAAAGGGCAUGAGGAAGUGUGCUCACAGAGAUUCACUCUUAUACUUCAAACUUUUGAUGCAAACUCUCCCAGACACAUAGACUAUUGGAACUAGAGGGACCUUCAGAUAUCAGCUAGUUUAACUCAGUCUAGAAUCAGUAAAGCAGUGAUCACCAGAAAGGGCCAGGGUACUAGAUCUCAUAGCUGCCAAAAUCUAAAUUAUCUUCAGAAGAUUUCUUACUGUCUGAAUAUUAUCCUAUCCCUAGAGCAGACAAGGAGAUUGAAGUUCUAGCAGGGAGUCUGGCUUCUUGAUACCUUGAUCUAGCAGAAGAGUGUUCUGCUAUCCCCCAAUCCAUGAAAAGGUCAGUGUUUGUACUCAAGUGCUUACUCCCCUGCAGGAAAGCCUUGGAGUAGGGAAGGAGGAAGCCUGGUCAUCAGAGGGUUUGUUGAGUUCACUGUUGUCUCAAUGUCUUUCACUGCCAGGAUUUUUGUUGUAGUUCAUUUAGCUAGCUUGAAAUAAUUUUUAAGUUGAAUAAUUGACUUUUCUCUAAGGUUUUUGCUUCUACAUCCUUCUUAAAGUACCUCCACAAACCAACAGGCAGCAGUAUGUGUUAAGACUAAGGAUCCAGGCAGCCUCUCUAGUUUUAUUUUGUUGUUUCCUGAAUGUGUGGGUUGUGAUUUUU